RNA transcript from Rattus rattus (black rat), 713 nucleotides. It is a transcript of the gene named calmodulin-like, with no coding region annotated. The transcript has a single exon. NCBI's taxonomy places the organism in Eukaryota, Metazoa, Chordata, Mammalia, Rodentia, Muridae. The record is from RefSeq and is a predicted model, not a curated record.
UGGUGCUGGGAGUCUCGUGUCCGUGGUGCCCUUUACUCGCAGUCAGGCGGCUUGAGGCUCAGCGCACAACGCAGGUAGCGCGUUAGCAGCAGCAGCGGAGGCACCUCGGCGGUCACAGCCCCUGCGCUGGUGCAGCCACCCUCGCCUGCUCUACUCCCCUCUUCCUUCCUUCGCUCGCACCAUGGCUGAUCAGCUGACUGAAGAAUAGAUUGCUGAAUUCAAGGAAGCUUUCUCCCUAUUUGAUAAAGAUGGGGGACGGCACCAUCACAACAAAGGAGCUGGGGACUGUCAUGCGGUCUCUGGGUCCGAACCCAACCGAGGCUGCAACUGCAGGAUAUGAUCAAUGAAGUGGAUGCCGACGGGAAUGGCACCAUUGACUUUCCAGAGUUCUUGACUGUGAUGGCUAAAAAGAUGAAAGACACAGAUAGCGAAGAAGAAAUCCGCGAGGCAUUCCGAGUCUUUGACAAGGAUGGAAAUGGUUACUUCAGUGCAGCAGAACUGCGCCACGUCAUGACAAACCUCGGGGAAAAGCUAACAGAUGAAGAAGUAGACGAAAUGAUCAGAGAAGCAGAUAUUGAUGGAGACGGACAGGUCAACUAUGAAGAAUUCGUACAGAUGAUGACUUCAAAAUGAAGACCUUCUUUCAACUACUUUCCCCCUCUAGAAGAAUCAAAUUGAAAUCUUUUACUUACCUCUUACAAAAAAGAAAAAAG